RNAcentral lists this ribosomal RNA (471 nucleotides) under uncultured bacterium. RNAcentral's name for it is "partial 16S ribosomal RNA". It matches the Rfam family "Bacterial small subunit ribosomal RNA", at positions 28 to 507 of the family's 1533-position model. The record is from RNAcentral.
GACGAACGCUGGCGGCGUGCUUAACACAUGCAAGUCGAACGAGGAAGCCUAGCUUGCUAGGUGGAUUAGUGGCGAACGGGUGAGUAAUACGUGAGUGACCUACCUUUGACUCUGGGAUAAGCCUGGGAAACUGGGUCUACUACCGGAUACGACCAAUCUCCGCAUGGGGUGUUGGUGGAAAGCGUUAUGGAGUGGUUUUAGAUGGGCUCACGGCCUAUCAGCUUGUUGGUGAGGUAAUGGCUUACCAAGGCGACGACGGGUAGCCGGCCUGAGAGGGUGACCGGCCACACUGGGACUGAGACACGGCCCAGACUCCUACGGGGGGCAGCAGUGGGGAAUAUUGCACAAUGGGCGCAAGCCUGAUGCAGCGACGCCGCGUGAGGGAUGAAGGCCUUCGGGUGGUAAACCUCUGUUAGCAUCGAAGAAGCGAAAGUGACGGUAGGUGCAGAGAAAGCGCCGGCUAACUACGUG